Long non-coding RNA from Priapulus caudatus, 275 nucleotides. RefSeq lists it as uncharacterized. The record is from RefSeq and is a predicted model, not a curated record. The transcript is spliced from 3 exons. Lineage: Eukaryota; Metazoa; Priapulida; Priapulimorpha; Priapulimorphida; Priapulidae.
GAUGUGCGGCUGAACUACCUCUUGAGUGCGCGACAACAUUUCCGGUCCAUGUUAAUGCACGACUUUCCAAAUCAAUUUAGUUUUUAUUGCUAAAAAUGGUAUCCAGUAAAGCUGUUAGUAUAGCCGCAGGAGUUGCUGGAACUCUCUUCGUUGGUUAUUGUAUCUAUUUUGACAGAAAACGACGGAGUGACCCAAAUUUCAAAAAAAAUCUCAGAGAAAAGAGGGAGAAGACUAAGUCUAUCAGUAAGAGAAAUGUACAGCUUCCUGACUUCAAA